UUUAAAAGUAUUGACAUUUGUUUUUUUGCAGGUUUGCCCAAACUGUCUUGUAUCGUACCCACUCGAUGUCCUCCCAUCUCAUGCAAGCCCAUGUAGGGACAGGCUCAGCAGCUCUUACAACCCCUUUGAAGGGGAAAAAGAACAUCAGGUUCCCUCUGCAGCUGCUGUGCUGCGGGAGAGCAACCUGUUUGAGAUGGCCGGACUCAGGACUCAGAUAAUGCGGUGACUCAGCUGACUGGUGGGAGCACAGACACUGCAGCAUCAGCUCUGACCCUGCAGGACUGUCCUGAUACUGACCAUCGUGAAACAAUUGGUUUGACCGUGAUCCAGAACAUUCACCGUACACAACCCAAAUGUGACAGCGAUGAGGACGAAGACCACCCGGUUCCAUUGGAGAAAGUCACUUCCAUCACUGGGUCUUUCAGGAAAUCAUAAUGGAAGAGUCACCGAAGGUGCUGCGUGACCUCAUGAAGUUGUGGGUCGAGUGGGAGCUGCCGACAAGAAACCUCAUCAUUGAGGUUGUAACCUCAACUUCUUCUUCUUCAAAUGGAAACUCCCCAGCCACUACCAGACCUACAAGAUGUCUACUACAGGAAAACGCCUGCAGAGCUCGGACCAGCCGCCUCAAAGACAGUUUUUACCCCCAGGUGGUUACACUGUUCAAUAUAGCAAGCACUUUAAAUAACGCACCAAGGAACCAAGCCAACUUUCCUGCAUUUUACUAAUGAAUUCAAACAAUAUAGCACCAUCAUAGCCAAUAUAAAAAACAAAAAAGCCACUUUUAAAUGAUUAAAUUAAUACAAUAUGAUGUAUAUGACAUAAACUCUGGCAUUAUGAAAUGUAUAUGCAAUUAUUUUUAUUUUGUCUUAUGUAUCUGUUAGUACAUCUGUUAAUGAGCAUGAGUUCAAUAAAGAAAGUAUUAUAUAUAA
This is a long non-coding RNA of Sebastes umbrosus (honeycomb rockfish), 929 nucleotides long. RefSeq lists it as uncharacterized. Lineage: Eukaryota; Metazoa; Chordata; Actinopteri; Perciformes; Sebastidae. The record is from RefSeq and is a predicted model, not a curated record. The transcript has 5 exons.